RNAcentral lists this ribosomal RNA (480 nucleotides) under uncultured bacterium. RNAcentral's name for it is "partial 16S ribosomal RNA". It matches the Rfam family "Bacterial small subunit ribosomal RNA", at positions 28 to 507 of the family's 1533-position model. The record is from RNAcentral.
GACGAACGCUGGCGGCGUGCUUAACACAUGCAAGUCGAACGAUGAAGAAAAGAAUUGAAGCUUCGGCAGAAAUUCAUUUCGGAUUAGUGGCAGACGGGUGAGUAACGCGUGAGCAACCUACCUCUUACAAAGGGAUAGCCUCGGGAAACCGGGAUUAAUACCAUAUAACAUUGCGACGAAGCAUUUCGAUGCAAUCAAAGCUACAGCGGUAAGAGAUGGGCUCGCGUCCCAUUAACCAGAUGGUGAGGUAACGGCUCACCAUAGUAACGAUGGGUAACCGGCCUGAGAGGGUGAACGGUCACACUGGAACUGAGACACGGUCCAGACUCCUACGGGAGGCAGCAGUGGGGAAUAUUGCACAAUGGAGGGAACUCUGAUGCAGCGACGCCGCGUGAGUGAUGAAGGAAUUCGUUUCGUAAAACUCUGUUCUAUGGGAAGAAAAGGACUGUACCAUAGGAGAAAGCUCCGGCUAAAUACGUG